UAAUGUAUGGGGAUCUGCCCGAUAGAGGGGGAUAACUACUGGAAACGGUGGCUAAUACCGCAUAAUGUCUACGGACCAAAGCAGAGGCUCUUCGGACCUUGCACUAUCGGAUGAACCCAUAUGGGAUUAGCUAGUAGGUGGGGUAAAGGCUCACCUAGGCGACGAUCCCUAGCUGGUCUGAGAGGAUGAUCAGCCACACUGGGACUGAGACACGGCCCAG
RNAcentral lists this ribosomal RNA (220 nucleotides) under uncultured bacterium. Its description in RNAcentral is "partial 16S ribosomal RNA". It matches the Rfam family "Bacterial small subunit ribosomal RNA", at positions 111 to 334 of the family's 1533-position model. The record is from RNAcentral.